RNAcentral lists this ribosomal RNA (497 nucleotides) under uncultured bacterium. Its description in RNAcentral is "partial 16S ribosomal RNA". It matches the Rfam family "Bacterial small subunit ribosomal RNA", at positions 28 to 507 of the family's 1533-position model. The record is from RNAcentral.
GAUGAACGCUAGCGGCGUGCCUAAUACAUGCAAGUCGAGCGAACAGACGAGGAGCUUGCUCCUCUGACGUUAGCGGCGGACGGGUGAGUAACACGUGGAUAACCUACCUAUAAGACUGGGAUAACUUCGGGAAACCGGAGCUAAUACCGGAUAAUAUAUUGAACCGCAUGGUUCAAUAGUGAAAGACGGUUUUGCUGUCACUUAUAGAUGGAUCCGCGCCGCAUUAGCUAGUUGGUAAGGUAACGGCUUACCAAGGCAACGAUGCGUAGCCGACCUGAGAGGGUGAUCGGCCACACUGGAACUGAGACACGGUCCAGACUCCUACGGGAGGCAGCAGUAGGGAAUCUUCCGCAAUGGGCGAAAGCUUGACGGAGCAACGCCGCGUGAGUGAUGAAGGUCUUCGGAUCGUAAAACUCUGUUAUUAGGGAAGAACAAAUGUGUAAGUAACUAUGCACGUCCUGACGGUACCUAAUCAGAAAGCCACGGCUAACUACGUG